UAAUCUAUUUAAAUCAGAUCCUCAUUUAAUUAUGAUAGACUCGCACCCGACUGCUUAAAAUCAUUUAUUACUAUAUGAAUAAUAUUUUUUUAAGAUUUUAAUUGGAGU
Molecule: microRNA precursor, 108 nt
Filed under: Populus trichocarpa (black cottonwood)
Lineage: Eukaryota; Viridiplantae; Streptophyta; Magnoliopsida; Malpighiales; Salicaceae
Description: MIR480 microRNA precursor family
Rfam family: MIR480 microRNA precursor family
Source: Rfam by way of RNAcentral